Solea solea (common sole) is the source of this 1068-nucleotide long non-coding RNA. RefSeq lists it as uncharacterized. The transcript has 4 exons. Lineage: Eukaryota; Metazoa; Chordata; Actinopteri; Pleuronectiformes; Soleidae. The record is from RefSeq and is a predicted model, not a curated record.
UGAGUCCAGUACCUUAAAGUGAGACUUGAGUAAAAGUACAAAUAUGUGACCAGAAAGUCACUUUUUAUAAAAUGAUUCAGGUAAAAGUUUGGCAUUUACUGUACUUGGGUAUCAAAAAUCAUUUCUGAUAUAAAAUGUAGUCAAAAGUGCUAGAAAUAACAAAGUACAGUACAAAUACGUACAAAUAAAUUCCUGCUCGACUCCAUGGACGAGAAAACUGUCGUCAUUUUCCUGUAAGUGCAGAGUGACGAGCAGAGAAAGUGAAAGUAACUAUUCUGUCACUUUGCUUCAGUCGCCAUUUGAACUGCGCAGCACGAGGACAGACUGAAGAGGAGGCUUGCUCUCUGUGCUGUGACAAUGUCACCUGCAGUGACCAGCUUGUGUAAGGGCAGCUGUAGCAUCACCUGUUUCUCCUUCAACACAGCUGCAGCUGUUGUGCUGCGGUGGAAAAACGUGACAACUUUCCUCACUCUGCCGAGGAGUCGGGACAUCUGGUGAACGCCCAUCGCUCUCUGCGCAGCCAGAUUAACGUAUAUGCGGUGAAAAUCCGGCCGCUUCGACAGCAUUGGCAAUGUUUCUGCCGUUAUCUGUUGUCACUUAAAGCACUUACAGCAAAUUGUGUGGGUCUUGUCGACUACACCAUUGCCGUCCUUUAUCUCCACCAUGUAGCCCAAAUGUUGCCAUACUGCUGACUGAAAUGAAGAGGGAGGAUCCGCUAUUUCUGGUUUUCUCUCGUGUGAUCACUGGACUGAACACAGAUCCACAUCAGACGUCCUCCAGGAAACAUGAAGGAGAUUUUCCACUCAAACUGAGAGAAUGACUGAAGUCCAGCAGAAGAGUGGUUGUGUGGAGGAAGACGAGGACAGAGCAGAGUCUCCAGGACCCAGCGGUCUGUCUGUGAAGAGUGACCAGUCUAUGAACCCACCUUUAACCUUCAGUCAUGAACCUGGAGCCUCAGAGACAAAGUAAGAGACUCAUGCACUGACAACAAGAGAACAUCAUACACUCUUAACCCGAAUUAGUUGACUUUACUCACAAAUCGCGUGGCAACCUGUUGCCCUAUACCAC